RNAcentral lists this ribosomal RNA (1060 nucleotides) under Salmonella enterica subsp. enterica serovar Bredeney. RNAcentral describes it as "partial 16S ribosomal RNA". It matches the Rfam family "Bacterial small subunit ribosomal RNA", at positions 1 to 1050 of the family's 1533-position model. Lineage: Bacteria; Pseudomonadati; Pseudomonadota; Gammaproteobacteria; Enterobacterales; Enterobacteriaceae. The record is from RNAcentral. RNAcentral also lists the same sequence under 1 other name.
AAAUUGAAGAGUUUGAUCAUGGCUCAGAUUGAACGCUGGCGGCAGGCCUAACACAUGCAAGUCGAACGGUAACAGGAAGCAGCUUGCUGCUUUGCUGACGAGUGGCGGACGGGUGAGUAAUGUCUGGGAAACUGCCUGAUGGAGGGGGAUAACUACUGGAAACGGUGGCUAAUACCGCAUAACGUCGCAAGACCAAAGAGGGGGACCUUCGGGCCUCUUGCCAUCAGAUGUGCCCAGAUGGGAUUAGCUUGUUGGUGAGGUAACGGCUCACCAAGGCGACGAUCCCUAGCUGGUCUGAGAGGAUGACCAGCCACACUGGAACUGAGACACGGUCCAGACUCCUACGGGAGGCAGCAGUGGGGAAUAUUGCACAAUGGGCGCAAGCCUGAUGCAGCCAUGCCGCGUGUAUGAAGAAGGCCUUCGGGUUGUAAAGUACUUUCAGCGGGGAGGAAGGUGUUGUGGUUAAUAACCGCAGCAAUUGACGUUACCCGCAGAAGAAGCACCGGCUAACUCCGUGCCAGCAGCCGCGGUAAUACGGAGGGUGCAAGCGUUAAUCGGAAUUACUGGGCGUAAAGCGCACGCAGGCGGUCUGUCAAGUCGGAUGUGAAAUCCCCGGGCUCAACCUGGGAACUGCAUUCGAAACUGGCAGGCUUGAGUCUUGUAGAGGGGGGUAGAAUUCCAGGUGUAGCGGUGAAAUGCGUAGAGAUCUGGAGGAAUACCGGUGGCGAAGGCGGCCCCCUGGACAAAGACUGACGCUCAGGUGCGAAAGCGUGGGGAGCAAACAGGAUUAGAUACCCUGGUAGUCCACGCCGUAAACGAUGUCUACUUGGAGGUUGUGCCCUUGAGGCGUGGCUUCCGGAGCUAACGCGUUAAGUAGACCGCCUGGGGAGUACGGCCGCAAGGUUAAAACUCAAAUGAAUUGACGGGGGCCCGCACAAGCGGUGGAGCAUGUGGUUUAAUUCGAUGCAACGCGAAGAACCUUACCUGGUCUUGACAUCCACGGAAGUUUUCAGAGAUGAGAAUGUGCCUUCGGGAACCGUGAGACAGGUGCUGCAUGGCU